RNAcentral lists this ribosomal RNA (535 nucleotides) under uncultured archaeon. RNAcentral describes it as "bacterial SSU rRNA". It matches the Rfam family "Archaeal small subunit ribosomal RNA", at positions 465 to 997 of the family's 1478-position model. The record is from RNAcentral.
CCGCGGGAACACCGGCGGCCCGAGUGGUGAUCGUGAUUAUUGGGUCUAAAGGGUCCGUAGCCGGUUUGGUCAGUCCUCCGGGAAAUCUGAUAGCUCAACUAUUAGGCUUUCGGGGGAUACUGCCAGACUUGGAACCGGGAGAGGUAAGAGGUACUACAGGGGUAGGAGUGAAAUCUUGUAAUCCCUGUGGGACCACCUGUGGCGAAGGCGUCUUACCAGAACGGGUUCGACGGUGAGGGACGAAAGCUGGGGGGCACGAACCGGAUUAGAUACCCGGGUAGUCCCAGCCGUAAACGAUGCUCGCUAGGUGUCAGGCAUGGCGCGACCGUGUCUGGUGCCGCAGGGAAGCCGUGAAGCGAGCCACCUGGGAAGUACGGCCGCAAGGCUGAAACUUAAAGGAAUUGGCGGGGGAGCACAACAACGGGUGGAGCCCUGCGGUUUAAUUGGACUCAACGCCGGACAACUCACCGGGGGCGACAGCAAUAUGUAGGCCAAGCUGAAGACUUUGCCUGAAUCGCUGAGAAGUGGUGCAUGG